Molecule: long non-coding RNA, 460 nt
Organism: Danaus plexippus (monarch butterfly)
Lineage: Eukaryota; Metazoa; Arthropoda; Insecta; Lepidoptera; Nymphalidae
Exons: 2
Source: RefSeq, a predicted model, not a curated record
UGAACGACAACAGUGUACAGACGUGUCAGUGAAUUAAGUGAAAGUGUACAAUUAAAUAUAAAUCACGGUUAUCGCUAAAAACUUUGGCUGAACAGUAAAAACCUUUGCAUAUGGCGUAUUGAAAAAAACACGUAAAAAGUGCGACACAAAUUAAAUUAAGAUGUGUUCGUUCCUCGAUCCUCGAACGCAGAAACCUCAACAAAUUCUCUUCACAAAUCACAAUACACGUAGCUAAUUUGCGCCUCAUUAUUGCAAGUCUUAGCCCUUCAACUACACAAUACAAUAACUAUUGUAACGUAAUUGUAAUAAAUUAUUCAAUAAACAUUAUUGUGUCGUGUCAGCGGUUAUAAACCCUUCUAUUCGACGAUAAGAAAUGUUUAAGAUUAACAAAAUUAUUAAACGCUUUUAAUAAAAGUUAAAUAUUUUUUUUUGUAACACAAAUAAAACAUGUACGUCACUA